Molecule: long non-coding RNA, 821 nt
Organism: Hyla sarda
Lineage: Eukaryota; Metazoa; Chordata; Amphibia; Anura; Hylidae
Exons: 3
Source: RefSeq, a predicted model, not a curated record
CUUUCAUACACUCAAGGCGCCAAAUCAUUUGACCCAGGUUAUCCCGAGAGCCAGGGGUCUUUUCUGCUCGACUGACUAGACUGGAGCCAAAUGCUCCCCUCCCAUUCUUUGGCUGUCAAUCCAGCUCGCUCCUCAGUCUCCGGCCCCAUCCUAAAAAAACUUCAUGUCUGAUCUCCAGAAGCAAAAUAAUAAUCUAUGGAUUGUGUUGGAUGAUGAAGCAGAUCGGAGAAGGACACAGGCCUCUGUGCUACAACACCUUGCAACGGGUGUCAACGUACUCUAUGCAGCACUCGGUGGGAUCGAAAAUGAAAGGGAGGGAGAAGAAAAAAAGAGAAAAAAAAGGGCAGAACACGAAUUAACUGGACCUGGUUUUCAUUUCCUCUUCAACGCAGUUUAAUUUUCCAUUGAGAAAAAGAAUUUUGAUUGUUGUUUUCAGCUCGGUCUGUAACAAUUGCCUUAUAGUCAGACAUUGGAACAAUUAGGAGAAUUAAUGACUAAUGAAGAGGGAUUCUGAAGCAAUAUGGAGAUACAUCAAAGCCGGCUAACCCGAAAGAAAUACCUUAAAAACUACCGGAAAAAUAGCGCAACAUCCUCUGUAAAGAUAUAAAAAUGAAUCAGCGCAGAUAUUUGAACCUAAGACAACAGGAUGAGAAAAAGUCGAGACUUGCUAUCGGAGUGUCCAUAGACGUCUUUAGCGCCCCGCAACAGAUGAUCAUUUUUGCCAACAUUUAUGUGUUUUAGUUAACAUUUACAUAUAGAUAAAAUGGAUUUCAGAAAGCUGCCUAAUUCUUAGACAGCGUCAACUAGAACAUCUGAGAAUU